UACGUAGGGGGCAAGCGUUGUUCGGAAUUACUGGGCGUAAAGGGCGCGUAGGCGGCACAGCAAGUCGGGAGUGAAAGCCCGGGGCUCAACCCCGGAACGGCUUUCGAAACUGCUGAGCUAGAGUGCAGAAGGGGCAACUGGAAUUCCCAGUGUAGCGGUGAAAUGCGUAGAUAUUGGGAAGAACACCUGAGGCGAAGGCGGGUUGCUGGGCUGACACUGACGCUGAGGCGCGAAAGCCAGGGGAGCAAACGGG
Molecule: ribosomal RNA, 253 nt
Filed under: uncultured bacterium
Lineage: Bacteria
Description: partial 16S ribosomal RNA
Rfam family: Bacterial small subunit ribosomal RNA
Source: RNAcentral